CUCGCCAUUAACUCUCCAGUAUCAUCUACUGUGCUGUCGUUCUCUCACAUGGCCUUUGGUCAUUGGUUCAGACAGGCUAAGAAGACAAAUGGAGAUUUGCAGAAGAAAAUGUCAUAUGGGUUAUCCUGGUAGUCUCCAGAGAAUUAACUGAGUCAUCCACAUUAUUUAGCUCCAUCUCCAUCCUUCAUGUGAUAGGAAACAGAGUUUUGAAGUCGAGGACAUAAGGCAGCAUCACCAAAUGCUCUCCAGGAGAGUUGCUACCUCUGCCAAAGGCAAAAAGGAGAUAGGGAAGCUGCCAUAGCAUCUGUUGGUUCCAGGAAGAAACCACCUUGCCUGUGGCCUGGGGAUAGAAGGAUGACACCUCAUCUAGUUACUUUAUGCAUGGCAGUUCUGCACUAGCAAAAACUCAGAGGCCAACCCCCAGACUGGAGCCUGAAAUGUUGCUACAUAAAACCCAGUGUUUCCAUGACCGAGCUUGCCAGCUGCAACAACAAUAUCAGCAGAAAGAUCGCUUCUGAUCAACUUCUCCUUCCAAAUCUCAUCUUCUCAAGCUGAAAACAGCAAUUUGAGUUUCCCGAGUUCUAACCAUGUAAACCAUGCUGGAUUCAAG
This 610-nucleotide long non-coding RNA is filed under the name Homo sapiens (human). RNAcentral describes it as "HSALNT0350279". Lineage: Eukaryota; Metazoa; Chordata; Mammalia; Primates; Hominidae. The record is from RNAcentral.